CCUACGGGAGGCAGCAGUGGGGAAUAUUGCACAAUGGGGGAAACCCUGAUGCAGCGACGCCGCGUGAGUGAAGAAGUAUUUCGGUAUGUAAAGCUCUAUCAGCAGGGAAGAUAAUGACGGUACCUGACUAAGAAGCCCCGGCUAACUACGUGCCAGCAGCCGCGGUAAUACGUAG
RNAcentral lists this ribosomal RNA (175 nucleotides) under Acetivibrio ethanolgignens. RNAcentral describes it as "partial 16S ribosomal RNA". It matches the Rfam family "Bacterial small subunit ribosomal RNA", at positions 338 to 530 of the family's 1533-position model. Lineage: Bacteria; Bacillati; Bacillota; Clostridia; Acetivibrionales; Acetivibrionaceae. The record is from RNAcentral.